GCGCCAGCCGCCGCGGUAAUACGGAGAGUGCAAACGUUGUUCGGAUUCACUGGGCGUAAAGGGCACGUAGGCGGCUCGGCAAAUCGGUCGUGGAAUCUCGACGCUUACCGUCGAAACGGCGGCCGAAAAUACCGGGCUCGAGGGCGUGAGGGGUCACUGGAACUCCUGGUGAAGCGGUGAAAUGCGUAGAUAUCAGGAGGAACGCCGGAGGCGAAAGCGAGUGACUGGCGCGUUCCUGACGCUGAGGUGCGAAAGCUAGGGGAGCAAACAGGAUUAGAUACCCUAGUAGUCC
This 292-nucleotide ribosomal RNA is filed under the name uncultured bacterium. RNAcentral describes it as "partial 16S ribosomal RNA". It matches the Rfam family "Bacterial small subunit ribosomal RNA", at positions 505 to 796 of the family's 1533-position model. The record is from RNAcentral.